GGGUCGGCGUGCAUUGGUGAGCCAAGCUGGCUGUAAACCAGUGGUCUUCGGACUGUGGCGGUUCGACUCCGUCCCGGCCCA
RNAcentral lists this transfer RNA (81 nucleotides) under Planctomycetaceae bacterium. Its description in RNAcentral is "tRNA-Tyr". It matches the Rfam family "tRNA". From Rfam's summary of the family: Transfer RNA (tRNA) molecules are approximately 80 nucleotides in length. Lineage: Bacteria; Pseudomonadati; Planctomycetota; Planctomycetia; Planctomycetales; Planctomycetaceae. The record is from RNAcentral.